RNAcentral lists this non-coding RNA (30 nucleotides) under Rattus norvegicus (Norway rat). Lineage: Eukaryota; Metazoa; Chordata; Mammalia; Rodentia; Muridae. The record is from RNAcentral.
AGCCCAGAUACUAGAAUAUAUUCCACGUAC